Molecule: long non-coding RNA, 8971 nt
Filed under: Podarcis lilfordi (Lilford's wall lizard)
Lineage: Eukaryota; Metazoa; Chordata; Lepidosauria; Squamata; Lacertidae
Source: RNAcentral
CUUGCUUCUGUAUUGGGGAUGGAGACAUACAACGGAUCCCUCUCAAAUGCUUUCCCUGCCUCAGGUCAGUGACAUUUUGAGGGAAUCAUGGGCAUAAGUAAUAACGGAAAAAUGGCCUUUCUGAAUCAGGCUAAAUAUCCAUUUAGUGCAGGGGGUAGAUAGCGUUUGUUCUGCCAGGGCCACGUUCCCUCAGGGGUAAUCCGUUGGGGACUGCAUGUCAGUGGUAAGCAGGACCAGAGUGAAAUGUGGAUGGGGCCAUCUCUCUCUCUUUCACCUCUUUCCAUCUCCUCCCAGCCUAAUCAGGGGCCUGUUGAGGAAGGGAUAGAUAGCCCAUGCAGGAGUUCACAAUGGGUCAUUUGCAGAGGGCUUUUGAAAUUAGACUGAGCGCCCCCCCCCCCCGCCAUUUUCCUAGAUCGCCCACCCUUGAUUUAGUGGACCAGUCCUCUGUCUGUAAACCUUGGCCAUCCAGAUGCCCUUGAGAAGCUUGCAAACAGGCCAUGAUGGCGAUAGCCCAGCCCAUUUGGCCUCAGUAUCUAGUAGCCAGAGGCAUUCCCACUGCCUCUGAAUGUUUCUCUGUCACCUUUGGGCCUGAGAGGCUGGGGUUUGGGCCUACACCUUCCCCAGAGAGAGCAGCAAUAAAGAGACGUCAGGCAAAGUCACUGGUGACCCGAGGGCACCAUGUACUGGAGCUGAAGUACUUGAGCAAAGGAUCAGCGUGUUCUAGUUCACUCUCCCCUCUCUGUGUCCCCCCCUCCAAGAGUGGCUUUGCAGAAAAGAAGACUUUUCUCUCAGUUGUGCACAGUGCAGAGUUUCCUUCCAGCAAGGUCAAGGUUGGUGCUGGUGGGACCCAUGGAAUUGCUGUGUCUCCUCUGCCUGCCCCCUUUGUUCAGCAAUCACAUGUUUUAGUUUUGGGAUGUCUGCCUCUGCCUCAGUUAGUCUGUUUUGCUGAUCCGAGGGGAGCUGGGCAAAGCCAAGAGGGAGGCCGAAUGCUGAAUCAGCCAUCUGGCUCUGGGAAACAGAUAUUUACCCCUGAUCCCACGGCUGGUCAGAUGCCAGCCACUGAAAAGUGGGUUUCCGCUGGCCAGCCACAGGGAGCAAAGCUCUGGGGAUAUUUGGCUUUGAGGGGGUGAAAUCCCUUGUUUCCUGCAUGAAAUGACAGUUAUUGGGUGUUUGUGUUGCUCCCCCAGCUGUGUUUCCUCCACUAUUUAGAGUUGUAGUCAGGAGAGGAACCAAUAUUUCAGGUUGGGGAAAACGUUGUUGGUGGGGGUUUUUGUGAUUCUCCUUAACUGGGUGCCUGGUGUGUAUUUGAAAGUUUUACAUGUGUAAAUUGCUUUCCUAUCAAUCUGCCUCUUCCAUGUUUUCAAGUGAUCUUAUGAUUGGCUAACAUAAGAACCAAGCCUCAAAUUCCCAGCAGAUAUGAAUUAACAAUGAUGAACACCGCUCUGUUACCACACAUACAUACAAUCAAUGCGGGAACGGGACUGCAUAGUUAGUCCCCCUAACUUUACCUAUUAUCUAACUAUACAGACAAACAAAUUAAUAGCUCACACAAAAACAUCUUCCCAGAAAACAGCAACUCAAGGGUGGUGGCAAGGCAGGAAGGUUUCCAUGGAGACAGGCCCUAUUAAUCCUGUUAGUAAUCUACCCCAGUUCCAGCAGCUUAGAAGGGGGCAGCUGGUGCCUGGCUGUUAUCAGCUUGGCACUUUCCCCCCUGACAGAGCCUUGGUGGGUUCUGUUCUCAUGUAUUGAUUACCCACUUGGGUACCACGGUGCAGAAAGGCCUAAUAAUAAAAUGUUUGUCUCUAAAACUGCAAUGUACCUGGCACCAUGGGUCAGCCUCCCCAUUUUACAUCAGUUUAUCUGUCGCAAGCAUCUUCCAUGUGCACAGAUCAAAAUUUCCUGAUGUUUCUAGUCAGGACACAGGAGUAGAUUGGAAAUAUCUCCCAGUUUUCAUCUUUCACUUCCGCCUUCCAAGCGGUGCUGAAAGGUGCCAGUGGCUCAUCUUCUGUGUAUAUGUUGGACAUGCAACGUCCCCCAAGGGUCAAAGAUCUGCCCUAGAUAUGGGCCAAAACCAUGUAGCCAUACCUGAAGAAUCUUCUUUCCCAGUUAACCCCCCGCCCUGAUUCCACAGGGUUGGAAAAUGGGGAUUGUUCCUUGUACUGAACAUCAUGGGUGAUCCUUCCGAGGCAUCUUGGGCAUCUUCACAAACAUGUCCUAUGAAGCAGGUCACACCGCAACAGAAGGCAAAUAAGGUAGAGUGUGAUGCUGCCAUUCAAAAAAUUGCUUUGACUUUUUACACUGAUUUUAGAUUACCACCAAUAAAGCAGGCAAUGCAGCAGCUAUAGCUUCCCUUGACCGUUCGUACUCUAAGCAACCAUCCACCACAACCACCUGCGUAGCAAGCAAAGAUUCCAGGUGUGCUGCACAGCAGGUUAGUUGAUGUGGGGAGACCCCCCUCUCAGACUCACUGAUGUGGUCCAAAGGAAAGGACAGCAAUACAUUUGGCACCAGCUUGGCUGCAGGAGUUUCUGGAAGGAGGCAUACAAGGCUCCAUCCAACCGCCUUAGGGACUCCACUCUGAAUUUGUGUAGGGUUUACUCCUCAGCCUUUCCUUCUCCUGAAGACAUUCCACAAGGCAGUGGAGGUUUAGGAUCAGAAUUUUCCGUUUCCUAGAUGGGCUAUCUUCCCAGAUUGAUGAGCCCCAUCUGCCUCUUGCUUCCCUCUACUACAGCAUGUGCAGAAACCACCUUCUUGACUGUUGUUCCCACUAUUGGUCUCGUUCACUCAAUUUGCUAGAGGCUGUCUUCGUAUGUAGGUCCUUAACUCCCCAAGGUUUUGAGACCAUCGGCUCCCCUCACCUGUUUUAGCUGACCAGUCGAAGCUAUUUCCCAGGGUUUGAUGGCUGUCACAUGCUGACUGCUUCUAGGAGCCACAGUGCAGGGUGGGGACCAAAGGUGAACAAACUACCCCAGAAAGAGCACAACGUGCCUCCCACCAGCAAUGGCUGCCUAUUCUAUUUUUCCCUCUCCAAGGAUAUUUAUGUGUGUUUCUGUUGCAGGAAAUUCUGUCACUGAAGAAAAAAUAGAUCCAGACCAACUGCUCUGCUCUGGGGGUUUUGAGUGCCCCUCUAAAGCAGUGUUUGGCCAAGACCUGCUUCCUCUUUGAAGCCUGGUGUGUUGGGAAUAAAUGACCCUACAUCCCAGGCAAUAGGGGAGGGCCUCAACGGGGUUGCAUUCAAAUUCUUGUGUCAGUAAGCCCCUCCCACUCUGCAUCUCUGAGCGGCAGCCAGCUGCCCUAGGGGACAAUAGGACUGGAAAUGGCUUUGAUGUCUGAAUGGAGGGAUGGGCCCCCAGGGAGCUGUAUAGUUAAUGAUUGUGCAAGGAGGUAGGAAGAGCAAUAUGUUCUCAGGAUGUUUCUUGGAUGCCCCUUGACCCUCUUGUUAUUCUCACACCCCCUCCUUACUCUCUGCAAUUUCCCUGUAGAGGUGUCAGUUUGGAGAAAAGGAUGUCCUGAGCUGAGCCUUCCUGCUGUCUCAAAGCUGGAGACAGGAAAAUUUCACUGCACUAACUGAGCUCUUCUUUGGACUUCAUUCCCAGGCAGAGGUGGAUUUAGGGGAUCGCGACUGGUUGCACUGCACUGGACACUGAGCCUAGGGGAUGCUACAGGGUACCAUAAAUGUGACAUAGUGAAUUGAGCAGAACGGAAGGCGAGAGGCAAAGGGCGCUGAAUUCUGGCCUGACACAGGGUGCCACUGAAAUUCGAAAGACCCAAGUCUAGCCCAGUCCUAUGUUUCCAAAAGUUCUGAAAGUUUAAUGCCCCCAUUUGGGGUGGGGGAGAAACUGGAUUCAGUUUGCACUUAAAGGUGAACCUAUCAGAUGUGCACUUUCUGAAGCAGUUCACACACCGGAAGAAAAUUCACACUUCUCCAAAUUUUGCAGUGCUGUUCUUUAGCCAAGUAGUGUGUAAAGAAAUGCAUCUACUAGGGUGAUAUGUGAACAAAAAUGCUUGCAUUAAUGAAAAUAACUUAUAAAAAUGCACUGUAGUAGGCAGUGUUAUUUUUCUAGAAAAAGAGGUGCCAGAACUCACCACGAACUCUUUCCUCAUUCUCUUAGAAUGGCAAUGGCACCCACCAGAGAGGAGCAGGUCAAGUCCAGAGCAAAACUCCUUUUCAGAAGGGUAAUUGCAACAUCAAAGGUGGAUAUAGGGGAGCGCAACCUGUUUGGUCGCACUGGGUGCAGGGCUUCAUGGGCGCCACAACUAUGAAGUCCAACGGAAGGCGGGGGGGAGGAUUUUGGUGUUGCAUUUUGCUGCUGGAUGUGCAAAGGGACAGGCUGUAGUACAGAGGGGAAACUUUGCUCCCCCAGAUGUUACUAAUCAUCCUUGGUCAUUCACCAUGCUUGCUGGGGCUGAUGGGAAUUGUUGUGCAGCAACAUCCGGAAGGCCAAAUGUUCCGUACACCUACUGUAGCAGCUUUGCCACGGAUGCGGUAUGUCCCUAUUUGUACAAGGGUGACAAAAGGUAACCCAAAACUGAGGGCUCAUCCACAUUUCCACUUUCCCUGGGGAAACCUGGUGCUUGCUGCCAAGUCAGAGCAAACAUCAAUCAAGUUUUCUCUCCCCGAUUUAGAGCUAAAGAGCAGUUUAUGGGGGGAAAGUGGCAGGGCAAAUGCAAAACCGCUCACACUUAUGCCUAGAAAGCACAGGAGAAGCUGAAAACUACUUGGACCCGUGCUUUCUAGGCACAGGACCAGCGGAAGUGUGGACUCUGAGGGAGCAGGAGCUGAGCUGAUACGGAACCUCUUUGUGCAAAAUUUCCAUCCUGGCUCAGCAGAUGAAUGUAGCCAAGCUGCAACUAAGGCCUUGGAGAUGGGGGAAGGUGGGGGGCGCUGAGAGGAUUAGGGGACAGAGGAGGGUGAGUCUGCUCAUGAGCUAGGAUGGGAAUCUCAAGCCAGGCUGGCCGGGCUGCUUGGCUCAGACACGCAGAGGCCAGAGGCUGACUAAUUUCCCCAGCUUUGUGGCUCAAAAUAGAAAAACUUGAAACAUUGACCCUUCACCCAUCUAAAAACAGCUGUUGGCGCCAUGGGAGCUGGAUUCCACAAGGCCCAGGGCCCAGCUCCAAACUUCUGCACUCCCUUUAGCUUCCAAGCCCAGUGAUGCUGUGCGAUAAGGAGCCGGGCCCAGAACCAUCAGGCACCAGUUCUCAAGGAGACGUUGGGCCAAACAUCCAUCAUAGCUGUGGUCUGGCACAGGCUCGUAGGGGGUGGGGGAGCGGGUUUGAUGGUCUCCACUCUCUUCCUGUGGCUCUGAAUAGAAUCUGCAGCCAGCAUUCCUCAGUAACAUUUCCAGCGCUCAGGAACAGUGAUCGAGGCUGGAGGCAGGCCGCGGUUUCCCGCCCCCACCCUGACCCAAGAGUUGGAAGUGGCUUGAAAAAUGGGUUGCUGCUGCUGAUUUGUUGCCCCUGAAAAUAGGUUCUGAAGAGCCCCCCCCCCCCCCGUUUUUAAAGCCCGUUAGAUUGGAGCAGCACAGGAGUGGGGUGGAUCUAUCCAUGGAAAACGAUGCGUCUUUCAUGCUGCUUCCAAAUCUUUGCAGGAGGACUAUAGCUCAGUGCGCAGUAAAGUACAUGCAAAAUUGUAAGCCCUGGCUACACAUGGUCUCCUAGCUAGUCCACCUAGGGUAACUUGAGCCACACAGGAUAAUGCUGGCAGUACCAGGGAUUCAGGGGGCAAAACAGCCACAAAGUCAUAGGUGGAGAGGUAUUGUCAAAGCAAGAAGCCCAGAAUAAAAUUUAAGAUAUUAACUGAUGCAAAGGAAAGAGGUGGGUUUGCCCUGCCAGACUUUAAACUUUAUUAUGAAUCAGCAGCUUUUUGCUGGUUGAAAGAAUGGCUACUUCUUGAAAAUACAGACAUUUUGGAUCUAGAAGGUUUUAACAACGUAUUUGGAUGGCAUGCAUAUUUAUGGUAUGAUAAGGUCAAAGCACAUAAAGCAUUUAAAAAUCAUAUUGUCAGGAAAGCACUGUUUAAUGUUUGGAUAAGAUACAAGGAUUUAUUGGAAAAUAAAACCCCAAGGUGGUUGUCACCGAUGGAAGCGAAAGCUCUGAAAAGGCUCAAUAUGGAGGCCAAAUGGCCGAAAUAUUGGGAAAUUUUGGAAUAAGAAGGAGACAAAUUGAAUUGCAGAGUUUCGAGAAACUAAAAGACAAAGUGAGAGAUUGGCUUCAUUAUUAUCAGAUAAUGGAGGCUUAUAAUUUGGAUAGAAAAAUUGGCUUCCAGGUGGAAAAAUCAAAACUAGAAACAGAACUGUUAGAACCCAAAACUAAGAAUUUGUCAAGAAUGUAUAACUUGCUGUUGAAAUGGAAUACUCAGGAUGAAACGGUGAAAUCUGCUAUGAUUAAAUGGGCACAAGAUGUUGGACAUAAUAUUAUGUUUGCUGACUGGGAACAGUUAUGGACCACAGGUAUGAAGUUUACGGCAUGUAAUGCCCUAAGAGAGAAUAUUAUGAAAAUGAUAUACAGGUGGUACAUGACCCCAGUCAAGCUUGCAAAAAUCUAUCAUUUGCCCGACAAUAAAUGCUGGAAAUGUAACGAAACUGAAGGUACAUUCUUUCACCUUUGGUGGACGUGCCCAAGGAUUAAGGUUUUCUGGGAAAUGAUAUAUAAUGAACUGAAAAAGGUAUUUAAAUAUAUCUUCUUGAAGAAACCAGAGGCCUUUCUUCUGGGCAUUGUCGGCCAAUUGGUGCCAAAGAAGGACAGAACUUUGUUUAUGUAUGCUACAACAGCAGCAAGAAUACUCAUCGCAAAGUAUUGGAAGACACAAGAUCUACCCACUUUGGAAGAAUGGCAGAUGAAGGUGAUGGACUAUAUGGAAUUGGCAGAAAUGACUGGCAGAAUCCGAGACCAGGGAGAAGAGUCGGUGGAAGAAGAUUGGAAGAAAUUUAAAGACUAUUUACAGAAAAUUAAUGAAUGAUAGAAUGAUGUUGGAUAGUAAUUAAGCGGUUUCCAGCUGUAAUGCUCUAAGAGAAUAUGAAAAAAGGGUUAUAAAUGGGUUAAAAUCUAAGGGUAAGGAUUUGCUGAACCAAUAAAUUGAAGUGGAAUACAAAAAAGGGAGGUACAAGGAGGUCCGGGAAACAAGCUAAAGGAAAAUAAGUAAUAGAAAAUACGUGUGUUUUUUAACUGUUUUUAUUUUGUAUUUUUCUCUUUUCUUUUUCCAUUUUUACUGUAAUAUUUUAAAAAACCUUAAUAAAUAUCUUAUUAAAAAAAAAAUCAAAGCAGCUGAGUUGAUUUUAAUGCCAGACAGAUCCCUGGAAGGUGUUGAAAACAGACUGUCCUAUCAUUGUGUCUGUAAAGAGACUUUGGACCUCCUCCACAUGUUUAGACAAAAGACAGCAGACUUAUGCCUUGAUAGGAUGGCUCUGUGUGAACUUUGCUUUCACAAUAUUGAUCUGAUUUGUUGGCAAGCCCAGCACAGCCUGUCCUGGCAUAGAGUAGCACUGCCACAUCUUUAUAGAGUUUUCAUAGAAUCAGAAUUGUAGAGUUUGUCUAGUCCAACUCCUUGUAACGCAGGGAUUUAGGAUGCCUUAGGCAGAACCUGAAGACUAGGCACCCCAAAUUCUAUGGCACAUAGUCUGGCUUUCUGUUAAAAACGUUCAGGGAUUGACAGACAGAUAUAUUCAGAGCUGGUUACCAGAGGUCUGUCUUAUCACAGGCUUGAACAUCAUGCAAGAUUGUGCAGGCAUAUCUUGUACAUAUAGGUUAGGAUUAUUCGCUAGUCAGAAAUGUAAGUUUUCAGUUACUGUUGUGUCAAAGACAUACGUGAGCCUCAAUUAAUGGUGAUUUGUACACAGAGUUAUGUGUAAAACAUGAGUCCCUUGGCAGCCUGGUUCCUUGUAACACACACAUUUCUCAAGGAGACAUGAAGUCAGGGAUGAGGAACCUGUGGCUGUCCAGAUGUUGAUGGACUCCAACUCCCAUCAGGCCCAGCUUGCAUUGCCCAUGAUCAAGGAUGAAGAGACUUGUAGUGCAGCAACAUCUGAAGUGCUACAUGUCUUAACAUCCCUACGUUAAGGAGAAUGAGCCAGCUCAUCCUGGCUGUGAAUCCUGGAAGACCUGCCCCCUGCCUUGCAGGUCUUUUUCCACCUGGCCUGGGAGGAGAGGGCCCUGACUGACCCCAGCUACAAAAGCUGAGGCUGCCAAACAGACUGUUGCGCUGGGGUUUUGUUUAGAGGGGGAGGGAGGUUGUUGCUGUUAUUGAUCUUUAUUUCUUACAGUUUUAUUUUAGACACAGGAAUGCCAACAACAAUGAAAUCUUUUAGAUCUUACGAUAAUUGUGGAAACUGUUUAAUUUCGUUAGUGCACUUUUUAUUGUUUACAACUACUUUUGUUAUGUUUGUAAUUAGGUGGGGUUUUUUCCAUGUUGUGAGCUGUCUUGAGCAUGGUUUUAACUAUGGAAAGGCAGCAUACAAAUAAAAUGAUGAGAUGAGCCCCGAGACACGUGCUUUGCCAUGCCCUGUAUAAUGCUAUGGUUCUCUGCCAAGGUAUGAACAUGUAGUUGAAAAGGGCACAGUGCAGUGUACGAUGUACUUUCUUCUGAGAAUAUAAGUUCUGUAACAAACUCUUUGGUCCUUCUGCAUCGUGCACAUAGCACUUGCAGGUUUAUUUUUCCAGCUGGUCUCUAUCACUGUGUCCCAAUUUCUAUGCUGCUUGAAUCCUGGUAGGCUGAGCAGGCCCUUACUUGUCAUCCCACCAAUCUCUGGGCUUUCUUACCUAGUGUAUGUCAUAAAGUGGUGAUAGAAAUUAUGUUCAAUGAGUUUCCUAGUCUCAGUCGAUGCAAAUUUGCCGUCCAUGCUCUGGAGUCUCUUACUGGAGAUAGUGUGGACAUGGGCUGCCCUCUGGUGUUCAGAAAUUAAUAAAUCUUCUAUUCCCCCCCCAACACGUUUUUGUUUAUUUUUUCCUUUUGGGGGAGCAUGCACAAGAUACUAAC